UGAGUAAGCUGGAUGAUCGCGGGUACCGGGCCGAAAGGUGGUACCUGAGGAAAGUCCGAGCUCCGCAGGGCAAGGUGCUGGGUAACACCCAGUGGGGGCGACCCUAAGGAAAGUGCCACAGAAACAAACCGCCACAUUAGUGGUAAGGAUGGAACGGUGCGGUAAGAGCGCACCAGCGCCCGGGUGACCGGUCGGCUAGGUAAACCCCACCUGGAGCAAGACCAAAUAGAGGAGCAAUGGGGCGGCCCGUCCUGCUCCCGGGUAAGGUCGCAUGAGGCGUCAGGGUAACCGGCGUCCCAGAUAGAUGAUCAUCCAAGACAGAACUCGGCUUACAGGUUUACUCACGAC
This 348-nucleotide RNase P RNA is filed under the name Peptococcaceae bacterium. RNAcentral describes it as "RNase P RNA component class A". It matches the Rfam family "Bacterial RNase P class A". Rfam says of the family: Ribonuclease P (RNase P) is a ubiquitous endoribonuclease, found in archaea, bacteria and eukarya as well as chloroplasts and mitochondria. Lineage: Bacteria; Bacillati; Bacillota; Clostridia; Eubacteriales; Peptococcaceae. The record is from RNAcentral.